GCGUAAAGCGCACGCAGGCGGUCUGUCAAGUCGGAUGUGAAAUCCCCGGGCUCAACCUGGGAACUGCAUCCGAAACUGGCAGGCUAGAGUCUUGUAGAGGGGGGUAGAAUUCCAGGUGUAGCGGUGAAAUGCGUAGAGAUCUGGAGGAAUACCGGUGGCGAAGGCGGCCCCCUGGACAAAGACUGACGCUCAGGUGCGAAAGCGUGGGGAGCAAACAGGAUUAGAUACCCUGGUAGUCCACGCCGUAAACGAUGUCGACUUGGAGGUUGUGCCCUUGAGGCGUGGCUUCCGGAGCUAACGCGUUAAGUCGACCGCCUGGGGAGUACGGCCGCAAGGUUAAAACUCAAAUGAAUUGACGGGGGCCCGCACAAGCGGUGGAGCAUGUGGUUUAAUUCGAUGCAACGCGAAGAAC
RNAcentral lists this ribosomal RNA (412 nucleotides) under Citrobacter freundii. RNAcentral describes it as "bacterial SSU rRNA". It matches the Rfam family "Bacterial small subunit ribosomal RNA", at positions 558 to 969 of the family's 1533-position model. The record is from RNAcentral. Lineage: Bacteria; Pseudomonadati; Pseudomonadota; Gammaproteobacteria; Enterobacterales; Enterobacteriaceae.